Non-coding RNA from Agelaius phoeniceus (red-winged blackbird), 293 nucleotides. NCBI's taxonomy places the organism in Eukaryota, Metazoa, Chordata, Aves, Passeriformes, Icteridae. The record is from RefSeq and is a predicted model, not a curated record.
UUCAGCGGCAGCCCUGGGCCGCGGCCGAGGCCGCCUGCGCGGUGACACACGCGCACCUGGCCUCUGUCACCAGCGCCGAGGAGCAGGCGUACCUGGCGCGGGAGGCCCGGGGUGGCACCUACUGGAUCGGGCUGACAGCCACGGGCACGGGGGGCUCCUGGCGCUGGUCGGACGGGACCCCCUAUUCCCCCGAUCAGAGUUUCUGGGCUCCAGGGCAGCCGGACAGCACCGACCACGGCCAAUGGGGCGGCGAGGGCUGCGCCCAGAUCCACCCGGUGGGCGCGGGGCUCUGG